This 364-nucleotide ribosomal RNA is filed under the name uncultured bacterium. RNAcentral's name for it is "bacterial SSU rRNA". It matches the Rfam family "Bacterial small subunit ribosomal RNA", at positions 29 to 414 of the family's 1533-position model. The record is from RNAcentral.
AAUGAACGCUGGCGGCAUGCCUAACACAUGCAAGUCGAACGAAGCCUUCGGGCUUAGUGGCGCACGGGUGCGUAACGCGUGGGAAUCUGCCCUUGGGUUCGGAAUAACAGUGGGAAACUACUGCUAAUACCGAAUGAUGUCGCAAGACCAAAGAUUUAUCGCCCAGGGAUGAGCCCGCGUAGGAUUAGCUAGUUGGUGUGGUAAAAGACGCACCGAGGCGACGACCUUAGCUGGUCUGAGAGGAUGAUCAGCCACACUGGGGACUGAGACACGGCCCAGACUCCUACGGGAGGCAGCAGUGGGGAAGUAUUGGACGAAAUGGGCGGAAAGACCUGAUCCAGCAAUGCCGCGUGAGUGAUGAAGG